CAAUAGCGUAUAUUAAAGUUGUUGCAGUUAAAAAGCUUGUAGUUGAAUUUCUGGCGGGCGCGCCGGUCUUCCAAGUGUUGUACUGGGCGCAGUCCGCCAUCCUUGUGGAGAGGGCUCGCAUUGAGUUGCGUGUCGGAUCUGCAUCAUUUACUGUGAAAAAAUUAGAGUGUUUAAAGCAGGCUGUCGCUUGAAUACAUUAGCAUGGAAUAAUAAGAUAGGACUUCGGUCUAUUUUGUUGGUUGCGAACCGAGGUAAUGAUUAAUAGGGAUAGUUGGGGGUAUUCAUAUUUAAUUGUCAGAGGUGAAAUUCUUGGAUUUAUGAAAGAUGAACAACUGCGAAAGCAUUUACCAAGGAUGUUUUCAUUAA
Molecule: ribosomal RNA, 366 nt
Filed under: uncultured eukaryote
Lineage: Eukaryota
Description: partial 18S ribosomal RNA
Rfam family: Eukaryotic small subunit ribosomal RNA
Source: RNAcentral